RNAcentral lists this long non-coding RNA (3449 nucleotides) under Zostera marina. RNAcentral describes it as "long non-coding RNA (ZMAR_LNC001493)". Lineage: Eukaryota; Viridiplantae; Streptophyta; Magnoliopsida; Alismatales; Zosteraceae. The record is from RNAcentral.
UGAAUUGAGAACCGAUAUUUUUCUGAUUUAAUUUUGUAAGCACCAACCACGGUCUUUGCUUACGAAAGAAACUGGUUAUUUCCUUGUCUUCUAUUAAACUCGAUGUUGAUUUCAGAACCCCGUGCUUUCUCAGGAAAAUUACGUCCGACUCCGUCUUCACCAUAUUUCUCAUGUACACUGCGUAGGUGGAAAUGUACAGUGCAUCAUUCUCUUCAUUUUCUGGCAAUCUAGGUAAAAAAUAUAUCUGUUCGUAAAACAACAAAUUCUCAAAUUCCGAGAAGCUAUUGUCAUUUAUCUCCAUCAAUCCGGCAUGCAUCUUAUUAGGUUUAAAAAACAUCUUGUAUGUGACUGUAGGGCCGAUACCUAACCAAUUUAUCCCGGAAUAAGCGAUUUCUGUUACUGUCGGGGUUUGUGUGAGACCAUGUAUCAGAGGACAAUUCGUUUUUACAGAUUUUGCUGUGUACUUAGUUUCUGCUUCCACCCAAAUGAUAACAAGAUAGAAAAUUCCGACAAACAAAAAAGAAAUCCCUUCCCAUAGAUAGUAUAAUAUACCACUUUCCUUGAGUAUUAUUAUUAUUAUCAACGAAGGUGUUGAUAGUAACAAUAUUUUUUUCCAGAGAAAAUCUUUGUCCACUUUCUCAUGAUAUCUGUAGGUGAAAAAGAUGGGGAGAAGCAACGUCGCUACCAAGAUGUAUAGUAAACGAUACAACCAUGGCUUCAUUCGUGAAGGAGCAUUUUUUAACUGAACCCGAUUCAACCGACACAUGUAGAGCAAAUGGAGAAGAUGGUCCAUAUUUUCAAUUUCUUCAUAUACACCGUCGAUACUCUUCUCUCCAUUGUGCAAGUAAUUGAUUGCCAGAUCGAAGAGAUUGAACCUUUGAUCUGGUUCCACCAAAUCUGUAUUUUGAUAUAUGAGUUUGAGAACAGGAAAAGGUAUCUGAUUCUCGAUAAGCAUCAAAUCAUGAUUAAGCUUAUGGAUAUCAAUUCCAGGAAAAGUCAACGACCCAUCAUUAUGUUUCAAUAAUAACUCCACAAGAAAACAACCAUCGAGCAGCAAUAUACCCAGAAAGAUAUCAUCAGAGAUUCCACAAACACCGAAAUCACAAUACUUAUUUUUUUCAGAAGAUAAGUCCACAUUUUUUACUACAUCCAUGUACCUUUCUAUGGUGUUGCUCUUGUUCCGAGCGAGUAGAUCAUUGAGGUAUUGCAACUUGACCUUUUGCAUCGAACGAAGCUCUUCUUUCCCGUAGUGGUAUGGUCCGAUGGAAAUGUAUUUGGGCGCGUAUUCCCGAUCAACGUUGCCAUUAGCUUCAACCAGCUCGGUAGGAAUUCUACAUAUGUUUACAUUUGGGUUUGGCCGUAGUAGGCUGGCCCAAUCGGUUGUAUCCGAAACAUUGAUUCUCAGCUCCAUUGCCAUGGCUCUUGUAUCUAUUGUGAACUGAAUUUGGAUGGUUGGAAUCGCUAUUGUCGCCUUACAUAUAUAUACCAUCCAAGUAUCCAACCUCACUACAUAAAGAGUGGUUAUGAUUUACAGCCAUUUUAAUUGACUUUGAAUAUUGAUUGUGAUUUACAAUCAUUUUAAUUGACUAAACCAAGUUUGCAGAUUGAAAUUGUUUUUUUUUAAGUAUUGAAAUUGACUUGGUCCAAAAAGUCAUGUUAGCAGUAGGAGUGAGAAUGAGACGGGUCACCUCGGUGCCCCGAUGGUAACCAACUUCGAGGCAGAUAUUCUGCUCCGUUUUCAUUUUUUCGCCACGUUGCCCCUGUCAUAUUCUGGGUCAGGUAUCGGCGUAGGGUGAAAUCCAGGCGGAUUGCCCCAAUUUUAAUAAAAAUAUAUAUUUUUUUAAUAUGAUUUAUUAUAUUAUAUUAGAUAUAGAUUAUUAAGAUUAUAAAUUUAUUAGAUUUUUAAGCUUAUUUUUUAUGUUUAUUUUAGAUUUACUCUUUAAUUUUUAAAAAUUAAGGUAAAAUGUUUACCAAUUUUACAUUUUAGGCUAACUAUUUUCUUUAUAUAUAUAUAUAUUUUUUUUUUAUAAUUUGUAUUUUAUAAUUUUAUAUUUUUUUAAUUCGGACCCGUUGGGUCGAUGCCGGGUUCAGAGUAUGGGUCAAUGAGUGUGACCCGCCUCGUUCCGCGCCCAGGUCAGGUCCCGGUCUACCUGAUCGGGGCGGGACUGCCCGGUGAUUUAGGUUGAUAAAAUAAUGUUGGAUUUAGGUAUCAUCUAAUAUAUUCUAAUAAAUUUUUUAUACUAAUUUUUAAAAGUAAAAACAAAAAGUAAAUCUAAAAUGGACAUAAAGUUUAAAAACUAAGACUUAAGCUUAAAAAUGUAAUAAAUUUUUAAUCUUUUUAAUCCUAUAUCUAAUAUAAUAUAAUUUAAUUUAUUAAAAAAAAUUUAAAAUUAUUAUUUUUAAAACCGAGGUGACCCGUCCAGAUUUUGCCCUGCCCUAAGACCCAUCCCGGAAAAUGACUGGAGCAACGAGGCAAAAAUAAAAAACAGGACCCGGUUACAACCGGGAGAGGACCCGUUCUCACCCUACUCAUGACAUAUUUUAUUUAAGAUACCUUUUAUCUCACCGUUAAUACACAUCUAUCUGCUUUAAAAAAAUACACAUUUAUCGGUUGUUCGUUUUUCUAUUUUGAGGUAGUUAAGACUCUAAAUGCUUUCGAAUUUGAAUAUGUUUAUUCGAAUUUUCGAAUUUCGGAUGCGGAUUUGUAUACCAAAAAUGAUAUUCGAAAAUUAUCCGAACAGAUUCAGAUAUCUGCAAUAUCCACCGUUAAAAUCUGAAUUCAGUUGAUAAUUUCGAAUGCGGAUAUCUGCAAUAUCCGAUCGUUAAAAUUCAAAUUCAUUUAAUAAUUCCGGAUUCGAAUUUUCUUAUCCAGAUAUUAUUCCAUAAACGAAUUCGGAUAUCCGAGCCGAAUCAGUCGAUACACAGAUCUAAUUAUGACAAAUUACGUUUAGUGAAUUUGAUUAAUCAAAGAGGAAUUAAUGGAAUUUUUAUGGUAUAAGUGCAAUUUUUACUCUUCGUCAAGAACAAACGAGAUUAAAAAAAAUUCCAACAUAUAUUUUUAAAAUUAAAAUUUUACACAAAAAAACCUUGUAAAAAAAUUAAUAGAAAAAAAAAUGAUAGAAAAAAACAUUCAAAAUUGUUUAGAAGAAUAAUCUUAUUAACUUAUUCUGUUUUUCGAUUUUUGAUCUUAACAUUUUUCCUUUCAAAGACCUCUUUAAGAAUUCCCUUACUUUUCAUUAUCAAAUACAAUUAAUUAUAAUGGGAAAUAUUCAGGUGGGUCAUCUAUCUCGGUCGUGUGCCAAAAAAAUCUUCAACACACUCGUCAUCCAUCGAUUUCAAUUACGUUAUGCAUAUAAAACUAACUUGCAUGACAUUGGGUGAGGAUCUCGAAACCAUCUGAUAUCACUUGUAGUACAUCACUUGUGUUUUACUUUAAUUAUAAAAACGGA